GCAGAGGGAUUGUUUCUGGUUUGAGGCUACCCUAGCUCGCAUAGUGAGUACAGGCCAAUAGGGCUUUAGAACAGUAAGCUGUCCCACGAGAAGAAAGGAGAGGAAAACUGACGGAAGGAAGGAGUAUCACUUCAAAUCCUACAGGAAUGUUCAGUUAUUAGGUAAGGGGCCUGGUUCCUCCUGGGAGAAGGCAGUUUUCAUAGCUGUAAAGAGUUCGGUUCUAAAGGCCCCUUCCACUGUGCUGCUGUGGUUCUGUGUGUAGCAGUAGAGCAGGCCAGCAUAUGUGAAACUCUGCUGCCAAGAAUUUUUCUUUUCACCAAGCAGCAUUCCAUUACUUUGAGAUUUCAUGAAAAUUUAAGCUGCUCAGUGAGUAAAGAAUUACUUAGCUUAUUUCUAAAAGGAGGAAGAAGCCCGACAGCCCAGGUUAGACUGAAUCUUAUCUGUGGGCUGAGGAACGAAAGGCUUACAGCUGUUUCCACACUUCCUUACCAACAUAUUUAUGCUAACCCGAGUCUGAGAUCUGGGACACUGGGCAAGAACACCAUCACACAUUUUAAGCUCCUCCAUCUCAAAGAGUUAAGUCCACAUGGUGAGGAUCAGCACUCACUCAGAAAUGAUUUGCAAUAAAGAUAAUAGUUUUAAUAUUUUAACUGCUCUCUCUUCUCUCCUUUGAUCGUAAACUCCAGGUAUACCAAAUCGCAUGGUUUGCUUAUUGAACAAGGCAUACCAAAAGCUAAACUUAAAGAGAUUGUGGCUGACUCUGAUGUCAUGCUCA
This 775-nucleotide long non-coding RNA is filed under the name Rattus norvegicus (Norway rat). RNAcentral describes it as "long non-coding RNA NONRATT021446". Lineage: Eukaryota; Metazoa; Chordata; Mammalia; Rodentia; Muridae. The record is from RNAcentral.